UACGGAGGGUGCAAACGUUGCUCGGAAUCGUUGGGCGUAAAGCGCACGUAGGCGGUCUGGUAAGUCGGAUGUGAAAUCCCUCGGCUCAACAGAGGAAGUGCAUUCGAAACUGCCAGACUUGAAUAUGGAAGAGGGUCGCGGAAUUCCCGGUGUAGAGGUGAAAUUCGUAGAUAUCGGGAGGAACACCAGUGGCGAAGGCGGCGACCUGGGCCAAUAUUGACGCUGAGGUGCGAAAGCGUGGGGAGCAAACAGG
RNAcentral lists this ribosomal RNA (253 nucleotides) under uncultured bacterium. Its description in RNAcentral is "partial 16S ribosomal RNA". It matches the Rfam family "Bacterial small subunit ribosomal RNA", at positions 524 to 776 of the family's 1533-position model. The record is from RNAcentral.